Molecule: ribosomal RNA, 460 nt
Filed under: uncultured bacterium
Lineage: Bacteria
Description: partial 16S ribosomal RNA
Rfam family: Bacterial small subunit ribosomal RNA
Source: RNAcentral
CCUACGGGAGGCUCCAGUGAGGAAUAUUGGUCAAUGGACGAGAGUCUGAACCAGCCAAGUAGCGUGAAGGAUGACUGCCCUAUGGGUUGUAAACUUCUUUUAUAUGGGAGUAAAAUGUUCCACGUGUGGGAUUUUGUAUGUACCAUAUGAAUAAGGAUCGGCUAACUCCGUGCCAGCAGCCGCGGUAAUACGGAGGAUCCGAGCGUUAUCCGGAUUUAUUGGGUUUAAAGGGAGCGUAGGUGGAUUGUUAAGUCAGUUGUGAAAGUUUGGGGCUCAACCGUAAAAUUGCAGUUGAAACUGGCAGUCGUGAGUACAGUAGAGGUGGGCGGAAUUCGUGGUGUAGCGGUUAAAUGCUUAGAUAUCACGAAGAACACCGAUUGCGAAGGCAGUUCACUGGACUGCAACUGACACUGAGGCUCGAAAGUGUGGGGAUCAAACAGGAUUAGAUACCCUAGUAGUC